Cygnus atratus (black swan) is the source of this 1151-nucleotide long non-coding RNA. RefSeq lists it as uncharacterized. The record is from RefSeq and is a predicted model, not a curated record. NCBI's taxonomy places the organism in Eukaryota, Metazoa, Chordata, Aves, Anseriformes, Anatidae. The transcript is spliced from 2 exons.
GCCGGGACGCUGAGGGGAGCGGCUCCCCCCGGCUGGUCCCCGCCUCGGCUGAAGGAGGGGAACCGCGGGGCGCUGGGGUGUGCGGUCCGGUGCCCCUCAGGUGUCCCCCAGGAACCCCCCGCCGCGGGAUCCGGGUGCCCCCGGGGUGGUGGCUGCCUGGGUGUGCCGGCGAGGAACCGGGCUGUGCCUCCCUCCUCUGCCCCGCAGCGAGGGCUGAAGGGGAUGCGAAAUGCUUUCGUGUGGUGCCUGUGAAUCUGACUUUUAAAUUAAUUUUGGGACAGAGCAACUGCUAUGGUGUGGUAGGGAGUAAAUGUAAACUGUGGAAGGUGGCGGACGCUCUUGCUUCUCGUCAGCCAGGAUCCUGGAUAUGCACAAGUGUGUGGCAGAAAGGCGGUUUUUCACAGCUUUCUUCAGAUUUCCUAACAGAGGAAUGUCCUCAGACCGUACUGUUGGAAAAUGUGGAUAGACAUUAUCCUGGAAGAACAGACUUCGAUCUGCAAAAGAGGCACACAGAAACCUCACUUUCCCCAAAUGAUUCAACAUGUCCUGAAGAUACUGGAUCAGUCCAUGAGAGGGUUCUGGCCCCUGCCUGUUUUGCUUACGCCUGAGCCGCUGUUUCAGGGAGUGGUGGAGGAGCCAGGCUUCGUGAUCCGAUUCCCAUCAGGACUGUUCCCUGCACACAUCUCUACGCACUCCUGCUUCUGAAGCCUAAGACAAAACUUUGUGAGUGCUGCACAGGUCAGUCCCUGGGACGAGGCAGUCUCCGGGACGAGGCAGUCUCCCAUGCCAACAAACACCUCCGGCAUUUACACACAUUCCUGUGCUGCCAAGCUGACAGCUGCUUGCUCACAUGGCGGGGCUGCACCAGCAAUGCACAACUGUUGAACCGCAGGAGGGCUGGCAACAACCCCCUCCUCUGCCCCAUGGACGCUGGUGCUGCCUCGGACAUGGAGGAGGAAACCUCUGUUCCUGACCUCCCCAGGAACAGCUCACCUAGGGUCCCGGUUUGUCAUGCCUCACCUACCAGGCUAUUAGUGUCAGGCUUUAGCAAUUAAUUGCUGCUGCAAUUCCUGUAAAGGUGGAAAAUACAAAGCCACCCCCCCAUUUGUGUCCUUAACUGCACGGGCCAAGUACAGAUAAAAAAUUGAAUG